CUCUACUUGGGGAUGAGAAGAAUUCCAUGCAUUAGGUUGUCAUCGAACACCUGGGCCCAUCUCACAAAAUAAUAAUGAAAUACAAAAGCCUGUGGAAAGCAUCCCAAUGACAAUACCGUUGGAAACAAACUCACGCCUUACUUUUUAAGGUUAAAAAUAAGCCAUCCCAAUGCACAAGUGUCUUUAUGGCUACAGACUGGAAUAUAAUUGUUAAUGGCCUGGCACUAUCAAGCAUAACUGACAGCAGGCAGAAGGGAGACAGGAAGGGGAGAUGCAGGCAGGGGCGGGGGUGGUAUCUUUUCAUGACAGCUCAGUCAUCCAGGUUCUUUUCUGAAGCCACAGCAUAAGAAAUAGAUGUGAAAGUAAGUCACAUGCACAUUACAACAUUCUGGUGGACCACCGACAGCAGACAUGGUGUGAUCCCCGCAGAUUGUAUCACGUAGUGUGUGGCGACCAUCUCAGCUUGUUUAAGUUCACUCUGUGAAGUCUGCACAAUGAAAUCCCGCAGUGAUGUAUUUCUUAUAUGAGUCUCCUUUGUUAAGCAACACCAGACUGGAUUUUACUUAGAAGUGUAAGUGAAGGCACGAAAUAGUUUAAAGGUGAUAAUAUACCUACUACAUUUGGAUGCAGGAGGGGAAGGAGGUUGGAUCACAUCUUAGUCUCUUUGGGCCACUACAACAAACAAAACAAACGAAAAGCCUGAAGAGACCUUAACCACAGGUGUUGCCAGGCCCCGGUGGCACACACCUGUAAUCCCAGCACUCAGAGACUGAGGCAGAAGGAUUGCGAGUUCAAAGCCAGCCUCAGCAAAUUAGUGAGGCCCUAAGCAACUCAGUGAGACCCUGUCUCUAAAUAUAAUUCCAAAAAGGGCUGGGGAUGUGGCUCAGUGGUUAAGCCCCCCUUGGUCCAAUUCCCACCACCAAAAAAAAAAAAAAAAAAGUACUACAGCUCUGGAGUCAAGAAGUGCCUCUCAUCCCUUGAAAUCUGGGGAUGGAAACACCAUUUGACCCAGCUAUCCCUCUCCUCGGUCUAUAUCUAAAGGACUUAAAAACAGCAUACUACAGGGACACAGCCACACCAAUGUUUAUAGCAGCACAGUUCACAAUAGCUAAACUGUGGAGCCAACCUACAUGUCCUUCAGUGGAUGAAUGGAUAAAGAAACUGUGGUAUACAUACCAAUGGAAUGUUAUUGAGCAUUAAAAGAGAAUAAAAUCAUGGCAUUUGGAGGUAAAUGGAUGGAGUUGGGGAAUAUAAUGUUAAGUGAAGUUAGCCAAUCCCCAAAACCCAAAUGCCAUAUAUUUUUCUCUGAUAUAAGGAGGCUGAUUCAUAGUGGGGUUGGGA
RNAcentral lists this long non-coding RNA (1341 nucleotides) under Marmota monax (woodchuck). The record is from RNAcentral. Lineage: Eukaryota; Metazoa; Chordata; Mammalia; Rodentia; Sciuridae.